ACAACAUUCGGACCGUCGGUCUACCGAACGUCGUACCCGCUCGGUGGAAGAUCUUUCCUUUGUCGU
This 66-nucleotide microRNA precursor is filed under the name Bombyx mori (domestic silkworm). Its description in RNAcentral is "mir-2774 microRNA precursor family". It matches the Rfam family "mir-2774 microRNA precursor family". Lineage: Eukaryota; Metazoa; Arthropoda; Insecta; Lepidoptera; Bombycidae. The record is from Rfam by way of RNAcentral.